ACGCUCGACACCUACGGGAGGCAGCAGUGAGGAAUAUUGGUCAAUGGGCGCUAGCCUGAACCAGCCAAGUAGCGUGAAGGAUGAAGGCUCUAUGGGUCGUAAACUUCUUUUAUAUAAGAAUAAAGUGCAGUAUGUAUACUGUUUUGUAUGCAUUAUAUGAAUAAGGAUCGGCUAACUCCGUGCCAACAGCCGCGGUAAUCUGAGCGGGCUGGCAAGGC
Molecule: ribosomal RNA, 218 nt
Filed under: uncultured bacterium
Lineage: Bacteria
Description: partial 16S ribosomal RNA
Rfam family: Bacterial small subunit ribosomal RNA
Source: RNAcentral